This 500-nucleotide ribosomal RNA is filed under the name uncultured bacterium. Its description in RNAcentral is "partial 16S ribosomal RNA". It matches the Rfam family "Bacterial small subunit ribosomal RNA", at positions 28 to 507 of the family's 1533-position model. The record is from RNAcentral.
GACGAACGCUGGCGGCGUGCCUAAUACAUGCAAGUCGAGCGGACUGAUUAAGAGCUUGCUCUUAUGACGUUAGCGGCGGACGGGUGAGUAACACGUGGGCAACCUGCCCUGUAGAUCGGGAUAACACCGAGAAAUCGGUGCUAAUACCGGGUAAUAUCUGAGAUAACAUGAUCUUAGGUUAAAAGAUGGCUCCGGCUAUCACUACAGGAUGGGCCCGCGGCGCAUUAGCUAGUUGGUAAGGUAAUGGCUUACCAAGGCGACGAUGCGUAGCCGACCUGAGAGGGUGAUCGGCCACACUGGGACUGAGACACGGCCCAGACUCCUACGGGAGGCAGCAGUAGGGAAUCUUCCGCAAUGGACGAAAGUCUGACGGAGCAACGCCGCGUGAGUGAUGAAGGGUUUCGGCUCGUAAAGCUCUGUUGUUAGGGAAGAAACAGUACCGAACGAACUAGGUCGGUACCUUGACGGUACCUAAACAGAAAGCCACGGCUAACUACGUG